CAGUCGCCGCGGUAAUACGUAGGGUGCAAGCGUUAAUCGGAAUUACUGGGCGUAAAGCGUGCGCAGGCGGUUAUAUAAGUCAGAUGUGAAAUCCCCGGGCUCAACCUGGGAACUGCAUUUGAGACUGUAUGGCUAGAGUGUGUCAGAGGGGGGUAGAAUUCCACGUGUAGCAGUGAAAUGCGUAGAGAUGUGGAGGAACACCGAUGGCGAAGGCAGCCCCCUGGGCCAAUACUGACGCUCAUGCACGAAAGCGUGGGGAGCAAACAGGAUUAGAUACCCCCGUAGUCCCUGUCUCUUAUAU
This 301-nucleotide ribosomal RNA is filed under the name uncultured bacterium. RNAcentral's name for it is "partial 16S ribosomal RNA". It matches the Rfam family "Bacterial small subunit ribosomal RNA", at positions 509 to 809 of the family's 1533-position model. The record is from RNAcentral.